AACGAACGCUGGCGGCAUGCCUAACACAUGCAAGUCGAACGAGAUCUUCGGAUCUAGUGGCGCACGGGUGCGUAACGCGUGGGAAUCUGCCCUUUGGUUCGGAAUAACAGUUGGAAACGACUGCUAAUACCGGAUGAUGACGAAAGUCCAAAGAUUUAUCGCCAGAGGAUGAGCCCGCGUAGGAUUAGCUAGUUGGUGUGGUAAAGGCGCACCAAGGCGACGAUCCUUAGCUGGUCUGAGAGGAUGAUCAGCCACACUGGGACUGAGACACGGCCCAGACUCCUACGGGAGGCAGCAGUGGGAAAUAUUGGACAAUGGGCGAAAGCCUGAUCCAGCAAUGCCGCGUGAGUGAUGAAGGCCUUAGGGUUGUAAAGCUCUUUUACCCGGGAUGAUAAUGACAGUACCGGGAGAAUAAGCUCCGGCUAACUCCGUGCCAGCAGCCGCGGUAA
RNAcentral lists this ribosomal RNA (449 nucleotides) under uncultured bacterium. Its description in RNAcentral is "partial 16S ribosomal RNA". It matches the Rfam family "Bacterial small subunit ribosomal RNA", at positions 29 to 523 of the family's 1533-position model. The record is from RNAcentral.